CGCACAUUGCGCCCAUUAGUAUUCUGAUGGGCAUGCCUGUUCGAGCGUCAUUUCAACCCUCAAGCCCUGGCUGCUUGGUGUUGGGCACCUGCGGGCCUCGCCCGCAGGCCCCGAAAGACAGUGGCGAGCGCGCCGCGACCCCGAGCGUAGUAGUUUAUACAUCUCGUUUAGGGCGUCCGGUGCUGUCCCGGCCGUAAAAAACGUCUCCCCGGAGACACUUACAAGGUUGACCUCGGAUCAGGUAGGAAUACCCGCUGAACUUAA
Molecule: unclassified non-coding RNA, 264 nt
Filed under: Xylariales sp.
Lineage: Eukaryota; Fungi; Ascomycota; Sordariomycetes; Xylariales
Description: partial contains 5.8S ribosomal RNA, internal transcribed spacer 2, and large subunit ribosomal RNA
Source: RNAcentral